UUCCUUUCCUUUCCUUUCCUUUCUUUUCCUUUCCUUUCCUUUCCUGUCCUUUCCUUUCCUUCGUCUCUUACCUUUCUUUAUCAGUGGUGCUGUUUGCAUGACACGUUUAACUAGGUCAUGGGGGUAUCUAAUUAUGUUGUAUGUACUCCAAAACUGAGUUAAUUGGCCUAUAACUUCCUCUGGCAACAAAUCCCCCCCCCUUUGUGCAGACUACUUACUAGAGAAUUAACUCCCCCUUUUAGCAACUGUGAUCAAAAUGUAAUCCUAGAGAAGCCCCAUAAAAAUGGGGCUUCUGUGGACAUUCCAUUUCUAUAGUCCUUUUGAUUUUUCAUUCAUUGUACUCGGGGGGGGGGGUGAGAAAAAUGAGCAGGUACAGUUGGGGUGUGUAAGUCCAUGAAUCUGCAAUGACCCCAACCUUAAUUGUAUUGUGGCAACUCUAUUUUAAAUUUACUUUCCUGGGGGUGGAAGGGACAGCAGGAAGUAAGGAAGGAAGUGAUGCCUCCUGCAAGGACUAAACACAUUGUCACUGAAUGCCUGUGUCAUCUGGGAUCAUGUGCCCUGAGUGUGCCAAUGUGAAUUAACUGGCUUAAAAAGAACUGGGUCAUUCAUGUUGCACAAAUAGGGCCUGUGUGUUAUGUAGGUAAGUAGUUCAGCCAAACAGUGUCAUACUUGGAAUCUUUCUGUUAUACUGUAAUUCCUUCUUUUUUUCUUUUUUAUAAAGACCCAGAAUUGUGGUUCCAAAAUUCUAAUUUGAUUUGUUUCUGGGCUCUUAGUUGUUUCUUUACAGACUUCCUCUGUGCUGUUUCAUAUUAGUAUGUAAAUCUGUUAUUUCCGGAAGAAACAUUUACUUCAGAUAUAUUUUCAGAGGAAACUACCAGCUGAACAUAGCUGGCUGAUAGGCCACUGGCUACAUAUCUAGAACAGCUCAGAAAAUGCAAAAGUUGUCCCAGACUGGCAUUUUUAUUCUAUACGGUUGACAGUUAAAAUGUAUCUAUUAGUAAUGUAACAAUAAAAUAAUACCAUGUUACAGAAUAAGGAUAUUGUUGGACUGCAAAUCCAAUCAUCCUUCAUCAUUGGGUGUGCUGGCUAGGGUGGAUGGGAAUUGGAGUCCAAGAAUAUCUGGAGGGUCACACUUUGCCUGUCCCUCACUUAGAAUGCUGAUCAUUACAAAUGCUAUUUCAGCAGUGGCUUCCUUCUUGUUCUUUGGUUGCAGGACAGGGUAACAGAAAGCAAGUGAUGGAAUUCACCUUGUUAGAUCCCUUUCUCAUGACAAAGUCCAUGCAUGUUUUAUUUCAUAUGGAAUGCCUGCAUUGUGUAGCAUGGUUGGGAAUUCAUUUUCAUCUUCAUGUUCCACUGCUACAUACUCACUUUGCUGCAUCAGCUUUGAAAAGUGCCAAUUUCCAACUACCUGAAUUUCUGGAUACCUCACAACAAAAGGGUCAUCCAUGCUAGUAAGAUUUGGUAGGAGCUUGGAUCAUUAUUGAAAUGGUACAGGUUACUUACACUUUAAAAUGUUCACUGGUCCUUACAUUUAUUUCAGAGUCUGGGAUUUAACCUCUUUUGCCUCUGCUCCCUUAGCAAUGUUCAUAUUGUUUUUUAUAGCAGGGAGAGAUGUUCCCACCAAUGCUCAGUCAGAAAAUCCUGCCACUAUUUCAUUUCUGUAUUGUUGAAUUUCUUUCCUUUUCUUUAGCAGGCAGAUGAAAUGGGUUGCCAUCCUUCCAUUUAUGUAUUCUGUACCCUGCUAAUCUAUCAGGAAUUGCAACUGGGCAUGGUUUGAAGUAGCAUGAUGUGAAUUGCAUUUGUGGCACAACUAGUGAGUCAUACGUCAUUAGGUCUUCUUAUAUUUUGCUAAAUGCCCGGCACCAGAAUAAUUUGGUGGCAUUUUUGUUUUGGUGGAUUUCCUUUGAUUCAAUUGUUAAGUGUACUUAUGUCAACCAUAUAGAGAUAAAAAAAACAUUUAUGAAAAAUGCAUAUCCUAAUUUGAUUGGAUCAUAUCAUUCCUUGUAUGUAGUUUAAGAACCUAUUUUGCAACCAGUCCAUCUUUCAGUGGUUUUGAGGCAGGUUUGCCUUUAGGGUAUGCAGCCUCUAUGGCUUUGCCCAGCAUAUUGUUUUGGGACUGAAUAGAUUUUCACCGUUUGCUUCCUUAAUGGAGAUGGGUGACGCUUUAAGAAUUUACUUCAAAGCGGAUUCUGUUGAACGAAAUGCACUGAUGCAAAAGAACAUCAAUUAGUAGAGAUGUGAUGUUUCUCUUCUAGAAAUUACUUGGCACAGUCAUUUUCAAAAGUGUUGAACAAGAGAUAUGUGAAAGUUCAGACUAGAUUAUAGACUGGACUUUAGCUUUGCACUUCUGAUUCCACUUGAAAGCUGUCAUAUAUAGACAGAAGCAUAGCUGCCUGGAUUUGGUUAAUAGCCAGCUACUGCUCUUGAAUCCCACUGAACUUUUUUUUUAACUCUUGACUGCAUUAGUUCUUCAGUGUGAGGGUGUUUUCAUUCAUCCCUCCCUUAACCACAUGAGCUGGAAGAGGAUAGCAGUUGCAAAACAGGAUUUCGGAAGCUAUAUGGAUUUAACAGUAUGUUUGCAUGUAAUUUGUACCAUUUACACGCUGAAUAAAUAAUUACUUGAGGUUUUUUGAGUCAAGAAGAGCCUCAGGUUCUGCUUUUUGCAUGUGACUGUCUCAAAGGAGAAAAAGUCCCUUUCCUUUCAUCCAUUAUACUUCUUCACAGAAAACUAGUUAUCCUGCCCCACACCCUUGGAAUUCUCUAGUUAUGACUGCUGGAGAGGUCAAGUUAUUGUGUAUCGUAUGGCUACCGUGAAGGAUAAAAACAGUAGAGAUCACAAUUUACUAAUAGCCAUCUGUUUGAAAUGAAGCAGCACAUAAAGACCCCUCGGUACUCCACAUCUUCCUGAAAGGAAGGCUAUUCUGAAUUUAAGCUAACCCCUUCAAGAACAGGAAGAACAGAAAAAAUACAACUGCCUGUUCAAUAUCCAGUUUGUGCAACUUACCACCUCCCUAUCUAAAAUUGCCAACUCCAGCGGAAACCAAUCCUAAAGGUUUUCCCCACCCCACAUAGAUGUGUUUAUGUGACACAUACAUUGACCAGAACCCGCCCUCCAACAAGGACAAGGCCAGGACAAAAAAUAAAUAAAAAAUUGAAUUAAUAACUAAUGAUCAAAAUUAAUUGCCUGUAAAACAAGGCACCCAUUUAUAAAACUAAAUGAUUUCUGUGUAAUACAAACCCAGCAUUCUUAUGCAAACAGGAUACAUACAUUCACGAGAGCCCAUUUCCUUUCAGCAAAACCACAAAGAAAAACAGAAUGGCAAUGGGAGGAAGGGAAGGGGAGUUACACUGGGAAGAGAAGGAAAAAGUGGUAAACCAAACUGGGUGGAGAUGGAAGAAUGAGGAGAGGAAAGGAAAGGAAGACCAUUUGCCUCCAUAAACAGACAAGUAUCUGCAAGGAGUUGGAAGAGAGGGACAAACUACCACCAUCUCUUGUGCCUCACUGAGAGUGAGGGCUCUAGAAAAAUUCCUGUGAAGUUCAGGGAUAAAGGAGGCAUUUUUUUUGAAUGCCCUUGAUGUCCUGUUUGUUAGGCUAUUAGCUCAGGUGGGAACAAUGACUCCGUUAGCUUCUGAGGGGGAAAAAAAUGGUGUCCUCGGCUAUCGGCUACUUAGUAGGAGGGGUGAGGAAAACAUAGUGUUAAAGCCAGAAAAAAAUACCAGAUUUCUGAAAAGGCAGUGCUGAGAGUCAGCAAGAGAGUGGCAUACUUGCCUCAGAGCCUUAUGUCCCCUUCAGAGGCUGUACACCCUUAGCUGUGGUUUCUUUCUCUUCCCCUCAAGCACUGGCCGAUGCCCACCUGCGAUUUACAGCAGCAUGCAGCCAGACUCAGCCAUCACUGAGGUGAUUUAAGGCCUGUCCUCAUUAUUGUUACAUUGGCAGGAUGAUGGCAGGAAGAUUCCAGGUGCUCUAAGUCAACCAAGGUUGAGGAACACUGCUCUAAGUCACUCCUGGGGAUUUCACCUAUGCCUCAGUUUUUCUCUCUGCAUUGUCUGGAAUUUGUGAAAGUGGGCAAAGAAGUAAGAGGAGUGUUGAGUCUGGAGCAAGGCAAGUGCUCUGGAUGGUCUGUAGUCUGUCACUGGAAACAUUCUUUUCUGUGCUGCAGCCCUGCAGCCAAGCCUAAGAUGGAGAAAGUCUCCGCUGUUACCAACUAUUAGCUUUCCAGUCCACACCUUUCUAGCACACCAGCAAAGUGCAAGCCAGAAUCAAGUUGAAUCACAGGCUAAAUAAGAGACAUUUCACUAACGGCAUCGAGGAGCUAACUCUGAUAGCCUUUAGGUAUUAAAGUCCUGCUGUCCCACUGAUUUCUCACUUUAUUCUGAAAUGCAUAGGAGAGGAAGCUUAAGAAAGCCUUGAAGUGCACCUCUCUUUCCUACUCCUGUAUGUACAUGUACCAGCCUAAAAGCUAUCUUCUUCAUGAGCAGCUGCUAAUAGAAGUUCUUAUAAAGAGUUCAUAAGGAAGACUUCUCUGAUUGCAAGCACUUGUGGGUCUGGCUAAAAAGAAAGGCAUUUCAGGAAGUUAAUAGAUAGCGAUAAUGCCGUUGUCCAAGGGCAUAUGUUGCUUAAAACUGCCCUUAGUAAAAAAAAAAAAAA
Python bivittatus (Burmese python) is the source of this 4648-nucleotide non-coding RNA. The record is from RefSeq and is a predicted model, not a curated record. NCBI's taxonomy places the organism in Eukaryota, Metazoa, Chordata, Lepidosauria, Squamata, Pythonidae.